UAUACCACCCAUACCUGAGUCUUACCCUGCUGAUGUUCCACACUUGCUCGAUCAAUCUCAUGCGUUAACUGCUUAUACGCCAGCAUGGACGAUGAGAGGUCUUUCUCUACAAUAUAUGCCACCUUCUGAUCCACCUGAUCCCCAUACUCCAUCAAAGUCAAGCUAUUGACUCUAAACAAGCACUUAGUGGGAGACAACCCACUUGUAUGGGUUUUUUUUCUUUUUCUUUUUCUUUUAUUUUACGUUUUU
Molecule: small RNA, 249 nt
Filed under: Arabidopsis thaliana (thale cress)
Lineage: Eukaryota; Viridiplantae; Streptophyta; Magnoliopsida; Brassicales; Brassicaceae
Description: ATSL206880
Source: RNAcentral